UUGCUGUCUGUGCCAAAAAAACAAAAGAUGGAAAUAAAACUGUCACGUUGAUCGCAACUUAAUUAGGGAGUACACAUCAUGAAUGGUUUGGUUAAUAAGCUAGAUGCAGACUAGAGUAACCUAGACUGUUUGAAAACAACAUUAGCUAAAACAAAACAUUAUUUAUGUUUGAUAAGCUUUGAAAUAAAGCAAAAAAUAAUAAAGAAUAAUUGUGCUCGUCGUUCUUUCAUAUAAUAGAAUUCAUCGAUUAUCAUAUCAAUUGUGAAUCUUUCAGCAAUUUCUUUUUCUAUAUAGACAAUCAAAUAAUUUGCAAGAAAAUCAUCAUCCAUCCGAUUGCGAAGUCUUGUUUUAACAGUCUUCAUCGCUGAAAAAGCUCGUUCAGUAGGCUGUGAGUUAUCAAUAUAUUUUUUUUCAAAAAAAGAAUUAAUUCUUUUUAUUUUGUUCAUGGUUCAACCUAAAAUCAAAACAUAUAUCGUAAGAAAAAAUUGAUAAUUUUGGCGGUUCUGCUAAAAACAAAACAUAAAAAAAAUCCAAGCAUAAUCAAAACAAACCAAUAAAAUAUAUCUAAUUAAUUAGAAAAAAAAAUCAAUAUAACAAGAAUUCAAAAAACAAUUGAAAAAACUAGCAGAUCUAAGAAAAAAAAAGAGCAAAAAUGAUAGAAUUAUUAAAAAAACCUCAUCAAAUUAUUAACAAACAUCUCAAAACAAAACAAAAAUAUAUUUUAAAUUUAAGUUACCUUGUUUUGUUUGAUGAAAGAUAAAUUAAUUAGUAGCUCUGUUUUAAUUUUUUUGUAGAAAAAUUUUGCUCGCGAUUUAUGUUUUUGAUCGGCUGCAGGAUUUAUAUUAGGGUAAAUUGGUGGCUCUGUUUUUUAUUUCACAAAAUAAUGUCUUUAUAUAUAUUUUUUUUUCAUGUAGGUCAAGAGUAAAUUCAAAAAAAAUCAAAAAUAAAAUCACAUUUAAUUUAGGAGCGCUACCUUUUUAAAAUAAAAAAUAUAACACUUCCUCCUAUUUAAUUACCCAAUUACCCAAUACAGGAAAAAAAAAAUAUUGCAGGGGCAAGUAUUGCAGGGGGGGCCCGGGCCCCUGCUUGCCCCCCCUUGCUUCCGCCCCUGGCUGCAUGGACAUGAGGAAAAUAAGAGGAAGGAAAGCUAAAACAUCAUUAUAAAAUAUAAUCAAUAAUAUAUAUAUAUAUAUAUAUAUAUAUAUAUAUAUAUAUAUAUAUUCACACACACGAGAGAAGAAAAAAACACAUAAAAAAGCAUAUAGAAAUUAAAACCAAUGAAUUGAUGUUGCUGUCUGUGCCAAAAAAACAAAAGAUGGAAAUAAAACUGUCACGUUGAUCGCAACUUAAUUAGGGAGUACACAUCAUGAAUGGUUUGGUUAAUAAGCUAGAUGCAGACUAGAGUAACCUAGACUGUUUGAAAACAUUAAUGCACCUUAGUCAACCGGUAAAAGGAACAUGAUUUCAGGAUAAAACAAAAGAACAACCUAAUUUUAGUUCGAAACCUAUGUACUCAUUCUUAAUUGAGUCUAAGACCAAUAAACUAUAUCAAUUUGAUCCUGAGUGUUUUCUUAAAGAUUAUUGUCUUUCUGUAAUGUUCAUCAACAUUUUGAGACUAAAUUGAAGUUUCUCCUAAAGCAAAUGUAGUCUUCCACUCAUUAGAAAUGAGAAAACCAUUAACAAGGGGACUAAUGUCUUUGAAGAAAAAUUACAAAACAAAAGUCAAGAUCAUUGAUGGAAUUAGCACACCAAAUUUCCAUAAAAUCUUUCUAUCUACCACUUUUACGUCUCUUACUAAUUAAAAAAAAAAAAGAGGACUAAAUUUCCUUGCAUGAUUACUACAAAAAUCAUUUCAUAAUCCUUCCAAAAGAAAAUGACAAACUUAAACAUGCCUUGGAUUCAUCAUUAAUAAUUAACAUUAUCCUGCUGACCUUGUAGACCUGAG
RNAcentral lists this long non-coding RNA (1945 nucleotides) under Populus trichocarpa (black cottonwood). Its description in RNAcentral is "long non-coding RNA (PTRI_LNC001946)". The record is from RNAcentral. Lineage: Eukaryota; Viridiplantae; Streptophyta; Magnoliopsida; Malpighiales; Salicaceae.